CGGAACGGGCCCCUCCGACCCGUCUAGAAACACGGACCAAGGAGUCUGACACGUGUGCGAGUACCCGGGUGGCAAUCCCGCGUGCGGAAUGAAAGUGAAGGGCACGCCCUGCCAACCGACCUGGACCUUCUGCGAAGGGUUUGAGUGGAGCACACCUGUCGGGACCCGAAAGAUGGUGAACUAUGCCUGGGUAGGGUGAAGCCAGAGGAAACUCUGGUGGAGGCUCGUAGCGAUACUGACGUGCAAAUCGUUCGUCGAACCUGGGUAUAGGGGCGAAAGACUAAUCGAACC
This 291-nucleotide ribosomal RNA is filed under the name Oxyrrhis marina. RNAcentral describes it as "partial Eukaryotic large subunit ribosomal RNA". It matches the Rfam family "Eukaryotic large subunit ribosomal RNA", at positions 630 to 941 of the family's 3401-position model. The record is from RNAcentral. Lineage: Eukaryota; Dinophyceae; Oxyrrhinales; Oxyrrhinaceae.